CAGCCGCCGCGGUAAUACGGAGGGUGCAAGCGUUAAUCGGAAUUACUGGGCGUAAAGCGCACGCAGGCGGUUUGUUAAGUCAGAUGUGAAAUCCCCGAGCUUAACUUGGGAACUGCAUUUGAAACUGGCAAGCUAGAGUCUUGUAGAGGGGGGUAGAAUUCCAGGUGUAGCGGUGAAAUGCGUAGAGAUCUGGAGGAAUACCGGUGGCGAAGGCGGCCCCCUGGACAAAGACUGACGCUCAGGUGCGAAAGCGUGGGGAGCAAACAGGAUUAGAUACCCGGGUAGUCCCUGUCUCUUAUAC
This 301-nucleotide ribosomal RNA is filed under the name uncultured bacterium. RNAcentral describes it as "partial 16S ribosomal RNA". It matches the Rfam family "Bacterial small subunit ribosomal RNA", at positions 509 to 807 of the family's 1533-position model. The record is from RNAcentral.